RNAcentral lists this ribosomal RNA (253 nucleotides) under uncultured bacterium. RNAcentral describes it as "partial 16S ribosomal RNA". It matches the Rfam family "Bacterial small subunit ribosomal RNA", at positions 524 to 776 of the family's 1533-position model. The record is from RNAcentral.
UACGUAGGUGGCAAGCGUUGUCCGGAAUUAUUGGGCGUAAAGCGCGCGCAGGCGGUCCUUUAAGUCUGAUGUGAAAGCCCACGGCUCAACCGUGGAGGGUCAUUGGAAACUGGGGGACUUGAGUACAGAAGAGAAGAGUGGAAUUCCACGUGUAGCGGUGAAAUGCGUAGAGAUGUGGAGGAACACCAGUGGCGAAGGCGACUCUUUGGUCUGUAACUGACGCUGAGACACGAAAGCGUGGGGAGCAAACAGG